This 69-nucleotide transfer RNA is filed under the name Scopelengys tristis (Pacific blackchin). RNAcentral describes it as "tRNA-Arg". It matches the Rfam family "tRNA". From Rfam's summary of the family: Transfer RNA (tRNA) molecules are approximately 80 nucleotides in length. Their secondary structure includes four short double-helical elements and three loops (D, anti-codon, and T loops). The record is from RNAcentral. Lineage: Eukaryota; Metazoa; Chordata; Actinopteri; Myctophiformes; Neoscopelidae.
GGGUAGUUAGUCCAAACAAGACAUUUGAUUUCGGCUCAAAAGACUGAGGUUAUAAUCCUCAACCACCCU